GCUCCCGUGGCACAGUUGGAUAGCGCAGCCGCCUCCUAAGCGGCAGGUCACAGGUUCGAAUCCUGUCGGGAGCGCCA
Molecule: transfer RNA, 77 nt
Filed under: Endozoicomonas euniceicola
Lineage: Bacteria; Pseudomonadati; Pseudomonadota; Gammaproteobacteria; Oceanospirillales; Endozoicomonadaceae
Also listed under: 2 other names
Description: tRNA-Arg
Rfam family: tRNA
About the family: Transfer RNA (tRNA) molecules are approximately 80 nucleotides in length. Their secondary structure includes four short double-helical elements and three loops (D, anti-codon, and T loops).
Source: RNAcentral